This 305-nucleotide ribosomal RNA is filed under the name uncultured bacterium. RNAcentral's name for it is "bacterial SSU rRNA". It matches the Rfam family "Bacterial small subunit ribosomal RNA", at positions 333 to 655 of the family's 1533-position model. The record is from RNAcentral.
CUCUGCCUACGGGGGGCAGCAGUGGGGAAUAUUGCACAAUGGGGGAAACCCUGAUGCAGCGACGCCGCGUGAAGGAAGAAGUAUUUCGGUAUGUAAACUUCUAUCAGCAGAGAAGAGAAUGACGGUACCUGACUAAGAAGCCCCGGCUAACUACGUGCCAGCAGCCGCGGUAAUACGUAGGGGGCAAGCGUUAUCCGGAUUUACUGGGUGUAAAGGGAGCGUAGGCGGCGAUGCAAGUCAGAAGUGAAAGCCCGGGGCUCAACUCCGGGACUGCUUUUGAAACUGUGUUACUAGAUUGCAGGAGA